CUACGGGAGGCUCCAGUGAGGAAUAUUGCACAAUGGAGGAAACUCUGAUGCAGCAACGCCGCGUGGAGGAUGACGCAUUUCGGUGUGUAAACUCCUUUUAUAUGUCAAGAAAAUGACGGUAGCAUAUGAAUAAGCACCGGCUAACUCCGUGCCAGCAGCCGCGGUAGUACGGAGGGUGCAAGCGUUACUCGGAAUCACUGGGCGUAAAGGACGCGUAGGCGGGAUAUCAAGUCAGGUGUGAAAUCCUACAGCUUAACUGUAGAACUGCACUUGAAACUUCUAAUCUAGAGUAUGGGAGGGGGAGAUGGAAUUAGUGGUGUAGGGGUAAAAUCCGUAGAUAUCACUAGGAAUACCUAAAGCGAAGGCGAUCUCCUGGAACAUUACUGACGCUAAGGCGUGAAAGCGUGGGGAGCAAACAGGAUUAGAUACCCCGGUAGUC
RNAcentral lists this ribosomal RNA (439 nucleotides) under uncultured bacterium. Its description in RNAcentral is "partial 16S ribosomal RNA". It matches the Rfam family "Bacterial small subunit ribosomal RNA", at positions 339 to 795 of the family's 1533-position model. The record is from RNAcentral.